GGGGAGAUACCAAAGCGGCCAACUGGGGCAGACUGUAACUCUGCUGUCUUACGACUUCGUAGGUUCGAAUCCUGCUCUCCCCACAA
RNAcentral lists this transfer RNA (86 nucleotides) under Labilibacter sediminis. RNAcentral describes it as "Labilibacter sp. CG51 tRNA-Tyr". It matches the Rfam family "tRNA". Rfam says of the family: Transfer RNA (tRNA) molecules are approximately 80 nucleotides in length. Their secondary structure includes four short double-helical elements and three loops (D, anti-codon, and T loops). The record is from RNAcentral. Lineage: Bacteria; Pseudomonadati; Bacteroidota; Bacteroidia; Marinilabiliales; Marinilabiliaceae.